GUGAGGAAUUUUCCGCAAUGGGCGAAAGCCUGACGGAGCAAUGCCGCGUGAAGGAUGAAGGCCUAUGGGUUGUAAACUUCUUUUCUCAGAAAAGAAUUAUGACGGUAUCUGAGGAAUAAGCAUCGGCUAACUCUGUGCCAGCAGCCGCGGUAAGACAGAGGAUGCAAGCGUUAUCCGGAAUGAUUGGGCGUAAAGCGUCUGUAGGUUGUUUAAAAAGUAUUCUGUCAAAGAUUAGGGCUUAACCCUAGAUAGGCAGAAUAAACUUUUAAGCUAGAGUUUGGUAGAGGCAGAGGGCAUUCCCGGUGGAGCGGUGAAAUGCGUAGAUAUCGGGAGGAACACCAAAGGCGAAGGCACUCUGCUGGGCCAAUACUAACACUGAGAGACGAAAGCGAGGGGAGCAAAUGGGAUUAGAAACCCUGGUAGUCC
RNAcentral lists this ribosomal RNA (426 nucleotides) under uncultured bacterium. Its description in RNAcentral is "partial 16S ribosomal RNA". It matches the Rfam family "Bacterial small subunit ribosomal RNA", at positions 354 to 796 of the family's 1533-position model. The record is from RNAcentral.